RNAcentral lists this ribosomal RNA (253 nucleotides) under uncultured bacterium. RNAcentral's name for it is "partial 16S ribosomal RNA". It matches the Rfam family "Bacterial small subunit ribosomal RNA", at positions 524 to 776 of the family's 1533-position model. The record is from RNAcentral.
UACGGGGGGGGCAAGCGUUGUUCGGAAUUACUGGGCGUAAAGGGGACGUAGGCGGCCAACUAAGUCCGACGUGAAAUCCCAAGGCUUAACCUUGGAACUGCGUCGGAUACUGGAUGGCUUGAAUUCGGGAGAGGGAUGCAGAAUUCCAGGUGUAGCGGUGAAAUGCGUAGAGAUGCGGAAGAACACCAGUGGCGAAGGCGGUCAACUGGCCUCAUAUUGACACUCAGACGCGAAGGCAUGGGUAGCGAACGGG